CGGCGCUGCUGCACCCCGCCGCGCUGCGCCGCCUGCUCACCGCGCUGUGAGUCUGCCGCUGCUGCAGUCCUCACUGUCCGCGUGUCCGCUCGUACAUACAUAAGUGCUACAGACGGAGUGACAAACGUACAGAAUCUCGAGCGCCGGAUCAAAAGCUUUGUGAGGUUUGGGGAUGUCAAUAUGUACUGCGGUCGUCGACCUCCAGGAAUGCUGGGAUCCGUCGCCUGAGAUGUACUUGAACGCGCAACACGAAGUAGCCCGAAUAGUCGACUGCGGUUGGAUCCCGAAGAAACACAUAAAAAUAAAAAAAAUAUAGUAACACCAACGCAAAUACAAAUAAAAAAUUACUUGGUGGUUUGAAGAUUAAUAAAAUGGUGACACGUGACUGGGAACAGAAAUAAUCGAAUAAAGGGAGAAGAAUCCCCGCCGGCUCCUGCUUCUUGAUGUUUCAUUAUUUACCAGCAGCUGUUGGCCGCGACUUCGUCUGCGAUGUUGAAUGUAAUCGUGUCACUCGCUUAGUGCUCAAUAAACUAUCAUUAAGUGA
Molecule: long non-coding RNA, 544 nt
Organism: Papilio xuthus (Asian swallowtail)
Lineage: Eukaryota; Metazoa; Arthropoda; Insecta; Lepidoptera; Papilionidae
Exons: 2
Source: RefSeq, a predicted model, not a curated record